AGCCCAGCUCCCAGCGGCAAGUACACUAGGCUCUUAACUUCGCUUGUCCUCUCUGCAGGCCCUGCCGAAGCUCCCCCUGGUUUCCCGCAGCGAUCCCGCGCAGGGCUGAAGCAGUGCCUACUCAAUAGAACCAGUCAUCGUGCAAAGACAUGCCACCUGACUCAAAGGCAAAGCCAGAGUGCAGCUUGGAGCAAAGAAGUUUGUGUUGAAGGAGAAACUAACAACGAAAAUGGACUUGUUGACGGAAGAAAAGUAGGAAUGCAGCCUCUGGUGCUGUUUGAGUGAUCCCUCUGCCCCAGGCCUGGCUGCGCGCUGCUGUGUUCUGGAAAGGCGCAUUGUGCCCUCGCUGUGGCAGGUAAGAGUCCUGUACAGGUGCUCUGCCCACUUUACCUUUCAGGCUUCUGUAUCAGCUGUUUUUCCCUUGUAGAAUGUGCCCCUGACCUGUGCCCCUGACUUCCACCCCUUAACCCUGCCCAAUACAUCUUUACAUGUCUGACCAUCAAGACUCUUCUGGGUCAUAUUCAGUUCAUGCUGAUAUUUUCC
Molecule: long non-coding RNA, 543 nt
Filed under: Homo sapiens (human)
Lineage: Eukaryota; Metazoa; Chordata; Mammalia; Primates; Hominidae
Description: long intergenic non-protein coding RNA 2256
Source: RNAcentral